Molecule: ribosomal RNA, 497 nt
Filed under: uncultured bacterium
Lineage: Bacteria
Description: partial 16S ribosomal RNA
Rfam family: Bacterial small subunit ribosomal RNA
Source: RNAcentral
GAUGAACGCUGGCGGCGUGCCUAAUACAUGCAAGUCGAGCGAACAGACGAGGAGCUUGCUCCUCUGACGUUAGCGGCGGACGGGUGAGUAACACGUGGAUAACCUACCUAUAAGACUGGGAUAACUUCGGGAAACCGGAGCUAAUACCGGAUAAUAUAUUGAACCGCAUGGUUCAAUAGUGAAAGACGGUUUUGCUGUCACUUAUAGAUGGAUCCGCGCCGCAUUAGCUAGUUGGUAAGGUAACGGCUUACCAAGGCAACGAUGCGUAGCCGACCUGAGAGGGUGAUCGGCCACACUGGAACGGAGACACGGUCCAGCCUCCUACGGGAGGCAGCAGUAGGGAAUCUUCCGCAAUGGGCGAAAGCCUGACGGAGCAACGCCGCGUGAGUGAUGAAGGUCUUCGGAUCGUAAAACUCUGUUAUUAGGGAAGAACAAAUGUGUAAGUAACUAUGCACGUCUUGACGGUACCUAAUCAGAAAGCCACGGCUAACUACGUG